GACGAACGCUGGCGGCGUGCCUAACACAUGCAAGUCGAGCGAGAUACGUCAGGUCUUCGGACCAGGCAUUAUCGAGCGGCGAACGGGUGAGUAACACGUGAAGAACCUGCCCCAGAGACCGGGAUAACCCGGGGAAACUCGAGCUAAUACCGGAUAUUUUCUUCGGACCGCAUGGUCUGAUGAGGAAAUGGUCCGCUGCUCUGGGAGGGCUUCGCGGCCUAUCAGCUAGUUGGCGGGGUAACGGCCCACCAAGGCAACGACGGGUAGCUGGUCUGAGAGGACGAUCAGCCACACUGGGACUGAGACACGGCCCAGACUUCUACGGAAGGCAGCAGUGGGGAAUCUUGCGCAAUGGGCGAAAGCCUGACGCAGCAACGCCGCGUGGGGGAUGAAGGCUCUCGGGUUGUAAACCCCUUUCAGCAGGGACGAAAAUGACGGUACCUGCAGAAGAAGCUCCGGCCAACUACGUGCCAGCCGCCGCCGUAACAC
RNAcentral lists this ribosomal RNA (489 nucleotides) under uncultured bacterium. Its description in RNAcentral is "bacterial SSU rRNA". It matches the Rfam family "Bacterial small subunit ribosomal RNA", at positions 28 to 526 of the family's 1533-position model. The record is from RNAcentral.